GUACAACGAGUCGCAAGUCGGUGACGGCAAGCUAAUCUCUUAAAGCCAGUCUCAGUUCGGAUUGUAGGCUGCAACUCGCCUACAUGAAGUCGGAAUCGCUAGUAAUCGCGGAUCAGCACGCCGCGGUGAAUACGUUCCCGGGCCUUGUACACACCGCCCGUCACACCACGAGAGUUUGUAACACCCGAAGUCGGUGAGGUAACCAUUUGGAGCCAGCCGCCUAAGGUGGGAUAGAUGAUUGGGGUGAAGUCGUAACAAGGUAGCCGUAUCGGAAGGUGCGGCUGGAUCACCUCCUUUCUAAGGA
This 304-nucleotide ribosomal RNA is filed under the name Streptococcus sp. HMSC056C01. Its description in RNAcentral is "partial 16S ribosomal RNA". It matches the Rfam family "Bacterial small subunit ribosomal RNA", at positions 1237 to 1533 of the family's 1533-position model. Lineage: Bacteria; Bacillati; Bacillota; Bacilli; Lactobacillales; Streptococcaceae. The record is from RNAcentral.